GAUGAAGAACGUAGCGAAAUGCGAUACGUAGUGUGAAUUGCAGAAUUCAGUGAAUCAUCGAAUCUUUGAACGCACAUUGCGCCCGCCAGUAUUCUGGCGGGCAUGCCUGUUCGAGCGUCAUUACAACCCUCAGGCCCCCGGGCCUGGCGUUGGGGAUCGGCGGAGCCCCCCGUGGGCACACGCCGUCCCCCAAAUACAGUGGCGGUCCCGCCGCAGCUUCCAUCGCGUAGUAGCUAACACCUCGCGACUGGAGAGCGGCGCGGCCACGCCGUAAAACACCCAACUCUUCUGAAGUUGACCUCGAAUCAGGUAGGAAUACCCGCUGAACUUAAGCAUAUCAAUAAGCGGAGGA
RNAcentral lists this unclassified non-coding RNA (352 nucleotides) under soil metagenome. Its description in RNAcentral is "partial contains 5.8S ribosomal RNA, internal transcribed spacer 2, and large subunit ribosomal RNA". The stretch from base 1 to 120 matches the Rfam family "5.8S ribosomal RNA", at positions 35 to 154 of the family's 154-position model. The record is from RNAcentral.